CAGCAGCCACGGUAAAACAGAGGGUGCGAGCGUUAAUCGGAUUUACUGGGCGUAAAGCGUGCGUAGGCGGCUUCUUAAGUCGGAUGUGAAAUCCCUGAGCUUAACUUAGGAAUUGCAUUCGAUACUGGGAAGCUAGAGUAUGGGAGAGGAUGGUAGAAUUCCAGGUGUAGCGGUGAAAUGCGUAGAGAUCUGGAGGAAUACCGAUGGCGAAGGCAGCCAUCUGGCCUAAUACUGACGCUGAGGUACGAAAGCAUGGGGAGCAAACAGGAUUAGAUACCCCGGUAGUCCCUGUCUCUUAUAA
Molecule: ribosomal RNA, 301 nt
Filed under: uncultured bacterium
Lineage: Bacteria
Description: partial 16S ribosomal RNA
Rfam family: Bacterial small subunit ribosomal RNA
Source: RNAcentral